This 734-nucleotide ribosomal RNA is filed under the name uncultured eukaryote. RNAcentral describes it as "bacterial SSU rRNA". It matches the Rfam family "Bacterial small subunit ribosomal RNA", at positions 537 to 1279 of the family's 1533-position model. The record is from RNAcentral.
AGCGUUAUCCGGAAUCAUUGGGCGUAAAGCGCCUGUAGGUUGUUUACUAAGUCUGUUGUUAAAGACUAGGGCUUAACCCUAGAAAAGCAAUGGAAACUAAUAGACUAGAGUAUGGCAGGGGUAGAGGGAAUUUCUAGUGUAGCGGUGAAAUGCGUAGAUAUUAGAAAGAACACCGGUGGCGAAAGCGCUCUACUGGACCAUUACUGACACUCAGAGGCGAAAGCUAGGGUAGCAAAAGGGAUUAGAUACCCCUGUAGUCCUAGCCGUAAACGAUGGAUACUAGAUGUUGUGCAUUAAGUACAGUGUCCUAGCUAACGCGUUAAGUAUCCCGCCUGGGGAGUACGCUCGCAAGGGUGAAACUCAAAGGAAUUGACGGGGGCCCGCACAAGCGGUGGAGCAUGUGGUUUAAUUCGAUGCAACGCGAAGAACCUUACCAGGGCUUGACAUACUACGAAUUCUUUUGAAAAAGAGAAGUGCCUUCGGGAAUGUAGAUACAGGUGGUGCAUGGCUGUCGUCAGCUCGUGUCGUGAGAUGUUGGGUUAAGUCCCGCAACGAGCGCAACCCUUAUUUUUAGUUACCAAUUCGUUGGGUUCUUUAGAAAGACUGCCGGUGACAAACCGGAGGAAGGUGAGGAUGACGUCAAGUCAGCAUGCCCCUUAUGUCCUGGGCUACACACGUGCUACAAUGGUUAAGACAAAGAGUCGCGAGCUUGUAAAAGUCAGCUAAUCUCGUAA